Molecule: ribosomal RNA, 467 nt
Filed under: uncultured bacterium
Lineage: Bacteria
Description: partial 16S ribosomal RNA
Rfam family: Bacterial small subunit ribosomal RNA
Source: RNAcentral
GACGAACGCUGGCGGCGUGCUUAACACAUGCAAGUCGAACGGAAAGGCCCCUUUCGGGGGGUACUCGAGUGGCGAACGGGUGAGUAACACGUGAGUAACCCGCCCUUGACUUUGGGAUAACUCUAGGAAACUGGGGCUAUAACCGCAGAGGAGCUCCUGCUCCACGGUGGGGGUUGGGGAGUUUGUGGGGUGGGGGGUGGACCCCCGGGUUAUCCGCUUGUUGGUGGGGUAGUGGCUUAUCCAGGCGUUGACGGGUAUCCGGCCUGGGAGGGUGAACGGCCACAAUGGGACUGAGAAUCGGCCCAGGCUCCUACGGGGGGCAGGAGGGGGGAAAAUUGCACAAUGGGUGGGAGGCUGGUGCAGCAACCCCGUGGGCGGGAUGACCGGCUUCGGGGUGUAAACCGCUUUCGCUCAGGAAGAAGCUUUGUGUGACGGUAGUGGGUAAAGAAGCACCGGCUAACUACGUG